CAAUCAAUGAAAUUGAAAGCACAAGACAUGAAGUAAACAAUCAAGAGAAAGCAGUAAACCUAAUCAUGCAAUUCUAAAGAAUAUAAAAGAGAAUAAUCGAGAAAGAAAGGAAACCCGCGACUCGUCGGGCUUUAUACAAUGCAUGAAACCCGAUACAUAUAUCGGGAAAAUGAAUAUUACAUAACAAUGGUCAGAAUGGACAUCGACCUUCACCAUCUUCACGCCUUCUCCAUCUUCGAGGUUCUAAUCUAAAUCU
This 256-nucleotide long non-coding RNA is filed under the name Eucalyptus grandis. Its description in RNAcentral is "long non-coding RNA (EGRA_LNC006717)". Lineage: Eukaryota; Viridiplantae; Streptophyta; Magnoliopsida; Myrtales; Myrtaceae. The record is from RNAcentral.